GCACCCGUAGCUCAAAUGGAUAGAGCAAGCGGUUCCUAACCGCUAGGUUGCCAGUUCAAGCCUGGCCGGGUGCACCA
RNAcentral lists this transfer RNA (77 nucleotides) under Acidobacteria bacterium 13_2_20CM_58_27. RNAcentral's name for it is "tRNA-Arg". Lineage: Bacteria; Pseudomonadati; Acidobacteriota. The record is from RNAcentral.